This 315-nucleotide ribosomal RNA is filed under the name Triticum aestivum (bread wheat). Its description in RNAcentral is "partial small subunit ribosomal RNA". The record is from RNAcentral. Lineage: Eukaryota; Viridiplantae; Streptophyta; Magnoliopsida; Poales; Poaceae.
AUGUUACCAUCACUUGCAGCUUUGGCACAUGGACUGGUCAAAACAGGUAAAUCAUCUAUGUAUACAAUGGCCGACAAGUUAUUACGAUUAGUAAUAACACUCCCGGUGUCGACUGCAACAGCAGAGAGAGCAUUUUCAGCUAUGAGAAUUGUCAAGACUCAUCUUCGAAGUAAAAUGGGUGAUGACUUUCUUCAACAUUGUAUGUUAAUCUACAUCGAGAAGGAGCUAGCGUCAAAGUUUAGUUUUGAUGAAAUUAUAGACAUGUUUGAUCUUCUUGGUGCUCGGAAAGCCAAUUUUAAGCUAAUAGAAAUGUAA